AGUGAACGCUGGCGGUAGGCCUAACACAUGCAAGUCGAACGGCAGCACAGUAAGGGCUUGCUCUUACGGGUGGCGAGUGGCGGACGGGUGAGGAAUACAUCGGAAUCUACUUUUUCGUGGGGGAUAACGUAGGGAAACUUACGCUAAUACCGCAUACGACCUACGGGUGAAAGCAGGGGAUCUUCGGACCUUGCGCGAUUGAAUGAGCCGAUGUCGGAUUAGCUAGUUGGCGGGGUAAAGGCCCACCAAGGCGACGAUCCGUAGCUGGUCUGAGAGGAUGAUCAGCCACACUGGAACUGAGACACGGUCCAGACUCCUACGGGAGGCAGCAGUGGGGAAUAUUGGACAAUGGGCGCAAGCCUGAUCCAGCCAUACCGCGUGGGUGAAGAGGGCCUUCGGGUUGUAAAGCCCUUUUGUUGGGAAAGAAAAGCAGCAGGUUAAUACCCCGCUGUUCUGACGGUACCCAAAGAAUAAGCACCGGCUAACUUCGUG
This 492-nucleotide ribosomal RNA is filed under the name uncultured bacterium. Its description in RNAcentral is "partial 16S ribosomal RNA". It matches the Rfam family "Bacterial small subunit ribosomal RNA", at positions 29 to 507 of the family's 1533-position model. The record is from RNAcentral.